RNAcentral lists this long non-coding RNA (1054 nucleotides) under Ananas comosus (pineapple). Its description in RNAcentral is "long non-coding RNA (ACOM_LNC031685)". The record is from RNAcentral. Lineage: Eukaryota; Viridiplantae; Streptophyta; Magnoliopsida; Poales; Bromeliaceae.
GGGUAAACUUCAAAUACCACCCUGUGGUUGCGCACUUUCUCAUUUUAGUAUCACGUGGUUUCAUUUUUUUUUCUUGUCGUCAGAUUUUUUUUUCGUUAAAUCAUUGACAAAGUUAAAACUAAAAAAUAUUAAAGUGAAUAUUCCAUGAAUCUAUGUGGGGUAUCUGAAGUUUUUUGUAUAUAAUUUAACUAAAGGAAAAUGAAAUCAAAGGGUACUAAAUUGAUAAACUUUAAACAACAGGGCAUUAAAGUGAGAAAUUGUCAAAGUUUUUUUUUUUUUUUUUUUUUUUUUUUCAAUAGUUCCUGAGGAUGUGCACUACAAUUUGGAGAAUAAAUUUUAGAAGGAAUAUUUCUCUGUCCCCACUACCGCAGAAAAUAAACUCAGGAGGAAAGUUAAUUGGGUUUGCAUUUUACAUCAGAGGAAAUGGCAUAAGAAUAUGUAGGGGACAAACUUUGGUGAAGAGAGAAAGUGCAUGAAAUACUACGACCACAAGCAAUUAUUGAGACCAAAAGCAAUUAUUGAGCGGUCGUAGGUUUUUUUUUCAAGGUCAGAGAUUUGAUACUCUGUUUGUAAUUUCACAAGUUAAGCUUAAAAAUCGUGUAUACUAAUUAUUAGAGGGAUAUAAUUAUAGAUAAAGAAAUGGUAUUGUAAGGUACUGGACUUCUAAAAUUAUGAAGUUACGGUGUGCAUUUGAUUGGAAAGCCAUUUGAAUCGUCCCGGCAAAGUUUGGUGAAGUUCGGAAGCCUUCAGGCGUUUCGGCGCGCGUAGGAGUGGAAACGAAAUCCGAAAGGCUAUAUUGGGCCGUGAGCUAAAAUCGGCAUUAGCGUAGAUGAAAAGAUGAUGAAAAUACGCUCGAAAAUAUGUUUGAAGAGUCUCGGUUCGAUUUGAAAUGAAUCGGAGGUCAAACGAGUGAAAACGGAGCGAAAACGGAUGAAGCUGAAAUUUGACUAAGUCUGGGCUGGAGGUCCCUCUGGGACCGGUCCCUGGCAGUGAGGGACCGGUCCCCGAACGCGAAAAUGCCCAUUUUGGACUGUUUGAGAGGCUAAGAGUUGUG